CCUAAUACAUGCAAGUCGAGGGAGAAAUUAGGUGCUUGCACUUGAUGGGAACCGGCGAACGGGUGCGUAACACGUAUGCAACCUACCUAUAACUGGGGGAUAGCCCGAAGAAAUUCGGAUUAAUACCCUAUAACAUUUAGUCAUCGCAUGAUGAUUAUCUUAAAACUCCGGUGGUUAUAGAUGGGCAUGCGGCCUAUUAGUUUGUUGGUGAGGUAAUGGCUCACCAAGACUACGAUAGGUAGGGGGUCUGAGAGGAUGAUCCCCCACACUGGUACUGAGACACGGACCAGACUCCUACGGGAGGCAGCAGUAGGGAAUAUUGGACAAUGGACGAAAGUCUGAUCCAGCCAUGCCGCGUGCAGGAUGACGGCCCUAUGGGUUGUAAACUGCUUUUAUAUAGGAAGAAACCUUUCCACGUGUGGAAAGCUGACGGUGCUAUACGAAUAAGGACCGGCUAACUCCGUGCCAGCAGCCGCGGUAAUACGGAGGGUCCAAGCGUUGUCCGGAUUUAUUGGGUUUAAAGGGUACGUAGGCGGAAUUUUAAGUCAGUGGUGAAAGCCUCCAGCUCAACUGGAGAAUUGCCAUUGAAACUGAAGUUCUUGAAUAUGGAUGAGGUGGUUGGAAUAUAACAUGUAGC
This 637-nucleotide ribosomal RNA is filed under the name uncultured Bacteroidota bacterium. RNAcentral describes it as "bacterial SSU rRNA". It matches the Rfam family "Bacterial small subunit ribosomal RNA", at positions 47 to 679 of the family's 1533-position model. The record is from RNAcentral. Lineage: Bacteria; Pseudomonadati; Bacteroidota.